Numida meleagris (helmeted guineafowl) is the source of this 1095-nucleotide long non-coding RNA. The record is from Ensembl. Lineage: Eukaryota; Metazoa; Chordata; Aves; Galliformes; Numididae.
GGGGGUUUUGGGGUCCCUGAGUCCCCUUUGGGGUGGGUUUUGGGGUCCCUGAGUCCCCUUCGGGCUGAGUUUUGGGGCCCCCUGGUCCCAUUCUGAUGGGUUUUGGGGUCCCCCGGUCUCUCUGUGUUGGGUUUUGGGGACUUCGGGGUCCACUUUGGGGUGGGUUUUGGGAUCCCUGGGUCCCAUUUUGGUGGGUUUUGGGGUCUCCUGAUCUUCCGUGAUAGGUAUUGAGGACCCUGGGGUGGAUUUUGGGGGUCCCAGGGUCACCUUCCUGGUAGUUUUUGGGGGUCUCAGGGGCUGGAGGCAUCCACUUGGUGCUCAGUUUCGGUGUCCCUGGGUCCCAUUUUGGUGAGUUUUGGGGUCCCCUGGUCUUCCAUAAUAGGUUAGGGGGAUUUGGGGGUCCCAUUAGGGGUGGAUUUUGGGGUUCCUGGGUCCCGUUUGGUGGGUUUUGGGGAGCACGAGGUCCUGAGGUCCCUUUGCCAUUCGUUCUUAGGAUCUGGGGUCCUCUUCUCUGUGGGAUUAUAGACUACAGGAUCCUCUUUUCUGUGGAUUUAGGGGCUCUGGGUUCCCCUUUCUUAUGGGAUUUCUUGUUUCAUGGGUUAUGGGUCUUCUUGUCUCUGGGAUUAUUGUCUACAGGAUUUUCUUCCCUAUGGGAUUAUUGUCUACAGGAUGCUCUUUCGUGUAGAAUUAUAGGCUAUAGAACCUUUUUCCCUAUGGGAUUAUGAGCUCUGGGAUCCCUUUUCUUAUGGGAUUUGGAGCUCUAUGGCUUUUGGGGCUCUGGGGUUCUCUUUUAUGGGAUUAUAAACUACAGGACCGUCUUCCCUUUGGGAUUAUAGACUAUAUAACCUUCUUUUCUAUGGGAUUAUAGGCUGCAGGAUUUUCUUCUUUACGGGAUUACAGGCCUUGGGCUCCCUUUUUUAUGGGAUUUGGAACUUUAUGGGUCUGGGGGAUCUGUGGUCCUUUUCCCUAUGGGAUUAUGGGCUCUGGGAUCCUCUUCCCUGUGGGAUUAUGGGCUCUGGGAUCCUCUUCCCUGUGGGAUUAUGGGCUCUGGGAUCCUCUUCUCUGUGGAUUUAUGGGCUCUGGGUUCCCCUUUCA